RNAcentral lists this ribosomal RNA (582 nucleotides) under uncultured Klebsiella sp. RNAcentral describes it as "bacterial SSU rRNA". It matches the Rfam family "Bacterial small subunit ribosomal RNA", at positions 509 to 1091 of the family's 1533-position model. The record is from RNAcentral. Lineage: Bacteria; Pseudomonadati; Pseudomonadota; Gammaproteobacteria; Enterobacterales; Enterobacteriaceae.
CAGCAGCCGCGGUAUACGGAGGGUGCAAGCGUUAAUCGGAAUUACUGGGCGUAAAGCGCACGCAGGCGGUCUGUCAAGUCGGAUGUGAAAUCCCCGGGCUCAACCUGGGAACCGCAUUCGGAACUGGCAGGCUAGAGUCUUGUAGAGGGGGGUAGAAUUCCAGGUGUAGCGGUGAAAUGCGUAGAGAUCUGGAGGAAUACCGGUGGCGAAGGCGGCCCCCUGGACAAAGACUGACGCUCAGGUGCGAAAGCGUGGGGAGCAAACAGGAUUAGAUACCCAGGUAGUCCACGCCGUAAACGAUGUCGAUUUGGAGGUUGUGCCCUUGAGGCGUGGCUUCCGGAGCUAACGCGUUAAAUCGACCGCCUGGGGAGUACGGCCGCAAGGUUAAAACUCAAAUGAAUUGACGGGGGCCCGCACAAGCGGUGGAGCAUGUGGUUUAAUUCGAUGCAACGCGAAGAACCUUACCUGGCCUUGACAUCCACAGAACUUUCCAGAGAUGGAUUGGUGCCUUCGGGAACUGUGAGACAGGUGCUGCAUGGCUGUCGUCAGCUCGUGUUGUGAAAUGUUGGGUUAAGUCCCGCA